GGAGAGGGCCAGAGACGUUGUCUGGAACCAGGAGUCCGCGCAGACCAGAAGUCAGGGUAGGCUGGAGGCAACUGUGGGAACAAGUCAAGAAUUUUUCUCCUUGGCCCGCCAGACAGAAAGGGGAGUCUGGAGAGCAGAUUCCCCAAAGAGCUGAUCUGUCUGAUACGUAGAAGAAGAAAUUAAGUAGGGAGAAGACACCAGCGUAUUUCCUUCAGCAAGGAUGGAGGAGGCGAAUCAUUAAGCUCUGUCCAUGUAGGCUGGAAGUAAGCCCUGGGAUGGAAUACGAGGGUACAUGGGGAAAGGCCAGAAACCUCCUCGGAGGGACCAGGCUCACCACGCACCCUGACGCAGGAGCACUGGUCUCCUCCCUUGACCCGGCCACCACAUCACCCUCCUCCGGGAUUAGGCUCAAGGUGCUCGACGACCUUGGUGUUAGGUCAGUCGUUCUGAACCAUACAAGCUGGCUCCUCUAGGAGGCUCUGUGCCAAGGAGCGAGACCAUCAGGCUGA
RNAcentral lists this long non-coding RNA (509 nucleotides) under Sus scrofa (pig). RNAcentral's name for it is "lncRNA (ENSSSCG00070008718.1)". The record is from RNAcentral. Lineage: Eukaryota; Metazoa; Chordata; Mammalia; Artiodactyla; Suidae.